This 72-nucleotide transfer RNA is filed under the name Ancylostoma ceylanicum. It matches the Rfam family "tRNA". From Rfam's summary of the family: Transfer RNA (tRNA) molecules are approximately 80 nucleotides in length. Their secondary structure includes four short double-helical elements and three loops (D, anti-codon, and T loops). Further hydrogen bonds mediate the characteristic L-shaped molecular structure. tRNAs have two regions of fundamental functional importance: the anti-codon, which is responsible for specific mRNA codon recognition, and the 3' end, to which the tRNAs corresponding amino acid is attached (by aminoacyl-tRNA synthetases). tRNAs cope with the degeneracy of the genetic code in two manners: having more than one tRNA (with a specific anti-codon) for a particular amino acid; and 'wobble' base-pairing, i.e. permitting non-standard base-pairing at the 3rd anti-codon position. The record is from Rfam by way of RNAcentral. Lineage: Eukaryota; Metazoa; Nematoda; Chromadorea; Rhabditida; Ancylostomatidae.
GUGGGUGUGGCAUAGUGGUAGAGCGGUCGACUAUCACUCCAUAUGUCGCAGGUUCGAGUCCCGCUAUCGCCA